Thalassophryne amazonica is the source of this 2605-nucleotide long non-coding RNA. RefSeq lists it as uncharacterized. The transcript is spliced from 2 exons. NCBI's taxonomy places the organism in Eukaryota, Metazoa, Chordata, Actinopteri, Batrachoidiformes, Batrachoididae. The record is from RefSeq and is a predicted model, not a curated record.
AAAGUAAAUUUCACUCUGGCUUAAUCAAUGCCCAGGAAGAUUGUGUAGUAAAGGAAGAGUUUGAGGAAAGAAUUUCAAAAAGGUCCUUCUAUUACAAUGGAGAUGUAGGCAGCUGGUGUUAACAGUGGAUGGACAGUGGGAUAUAAUACCUUGAUGUGAUUAUUUUUGAUAGCAGCAGCAGCAACACUGACUACUUUAUAUCUCAGCAAGUAGUUCCUUAGAUCUUUCAAUCCUCCUGUCUUGGUUCACUUCAUUCUGACUUAUUAUGAGAAGUACAGGCUCUGAUUGCUAAUAUACAGAACCCACACCGUUUGGAUUUUGUUUGUUUGGGGAUGGGGAGAGAUACUGAUAUCAGAGAAUAAAAAAUUAACAUGAUAUAGUUUGCAAGCCCUCAUGACAAAGACAUGAGGCUUCAUGUUUUACAGUUUUAACAUAAGCCUUAUUAUGGUAAGUUCUUUUGGCUUCUCCCUUUUUUACUUGUGGUUGUCAGAGCAGAGUCAGUAUGGAUCUAUAUGUUGGCACAAGUUUUACACUGGAUGACCUUUCUGGCACAACUCCAUAUUACAUGGAGAAUUUGCAGGUAUGGCUUUGAACCAGGCACCUUUUCUGAAAACAAGCACACAAACUGCUUGGCCACCAUGCUGGCCUUUAUUACAAAUAACUACAGAAAUAGAAAACAGCAUUCAGUCGGAUUGGCAGUUGCUGUCUUGAAUUACUCAACAUUUCCCAAAAUAGACUACUUCUUUAUUUUUGCCUUGCCAAGUUGGUGCAUAGUGACCACUUGUCUCUUGUCACUGUAAAAUGCCCAUUCUGGUUUAAAAUGAAUGGCAGCUGACCAAGGGGUGACGGGGUCACAGCUAUGCUUGACAGCAUUAUCAACGAUUCCACUGGAGCACAAUCUUCUGGAUAAAUGUAAUGAUGGCAUUUCCAACAAAAUUAUAUUUGUACAAAAUAGCACAAAUACCAGUAUGUUCCUGAGAGGCUUAUAUCGGAUGAUAUUAAUGGCCGCCUGAUAUCUCCGGCUGUAUUACUGUGAAGAUGUUUGAUCAGGCAAGGAAUGCAUUUUCUCUGCCUUCCUCUUGCUGGCCAGAAUAAGGUGUUUUUUUAAAAAGCUGUCACCUAGUAAGUAUUCAGUAGUGACUUUCAGUCAUAUAUUUUUAAAAAACAUUAUUCCCCACAAGCUUAAUGCUCUAUGGAUGAGUUCAAUCACUCUUCAUUCUAUUGUUGAUCAACUUUUAAGAACACUAAAUUAUGAAAGGCUGUGAUAAUUUGAAUGCUUGCAGUCAACUUUUUGUCUAAUUGCGAAGCCUUGACAAAAACGUUCAUUCAUUUUCUGUGCCCACUUAAUCCAGUUAAGGAUGAUGGGGGGAGCUGGAGCCUAUCCAGUCAGUCAUAGGGUGAGAGGCGGAGUACACCCUGGACAGGAUGUCAGUCUGCAGCCAGGCCACAUGUAGAAAGACAAAUUCAUACUCUCACGCAUACCUACGGGUUAUUUAGAGUCACCAAUCCAAAUGUGCAGCUCUGGCAGAUCCAGAAAAUUAAAAUUAUGUGCAUUUAAAGAUUACAGAGCAAAUUCUGACAGGACACAUUUUAUGUGUUUGUCCUGCAGUUAUUCAUUGUCAUAGUACUUUGUGCACAGGGACAUCAAAUGCUGAUAAUGUGGAGAAUGCAGGAAAACGUAUUUUAAAUUUGUUCAUCUUCUUUAAAAAAUAGUUUGUGGAAAGCAUAAAUAUCACACAUUGUUUAAAUGAACAUAGGAAUGUUUCGUGUGGGCAACACUGUCACGAGCUGAUACAUAUUGUUUAUUGGGGUCUAACUUGCUUUUUACUGAAGAUCGUUAUGCAUUAAAAACAACUUUAUUGCUUUUUUUUUUUUUGGCAACUAUAGAACCCUGAAACAGUCUGAGCCAUUAAUAUUUAUACAACUCCAAGCAGAAAAAAUGGGACAGCAUGGAAAAUGCAGAUAAAAAGCAUUUAGUGAAUCUUAAAUUUGCUUUGACUUUUGUUUCAUUGUAGACCGUCAGUCCCUUCAGCUUCUCCCUUAUUUCACUCGGGGUCAUUGCAACAAAUCCGAGGUGAUCCGUAUGUUGUUUUGGUUUUAUGUCGGGUGCCCUUCCUGAUGCAACUUCAGCUUACAUGAAGAAUGGACAGGUGGCCUUCAACCAGAAGCAAAAAUAGUUCAGGUUUUGUGUAACAAACGUCAUUUAAUUUAAUAUUCAUUCAUUCCUGCAUUUAAGGCCUUCAACAUAGUUACAAAGGGACAAUUUAGGUGAUGUAAGCAGGUGACUGUUAACACGAUUUUUGUACAAAAGCUGUAAAAUCACUGCUCUAACCACAUGGGCAAAGCAUUAAUUUGGGAAUCUUUUGUCAUACACUACAAUACGGAGUUACAGUUUAUUGUGCCAAAAUGAAGACUUAUGUUAACCUUGUACAGCAGUGUUGACAUCUGGUUUGGAUCAUCACAUACACUGUGGUCACAGGAAGCAGUAUUAAAGAUCUUUUUGUGGAAGAAGUGGAUGCCGUGUGUUCCAGACCAAAGAAAAUAAAGGACCAUCCAGGCUGUUACUAGCAACAAGUCCAAAAGCUUGAAUUUGUCAUGGUAUGGG